RNAcentral lists this ribosomal RNA (451 nucleotides) under uncultured bacterium. RNAcentral's name for it is "bacterial SSU rRNA". It matches the Rfam family "Bacterial small subunit ribosomal RNA", at positions 8 to 507 of the family's 1533-position model. The record is from RNAcentral.
AGAGUUUGAUCAUGGCUCAGAACGAACGCUGGCGGCAGGCCUAACACAUGCAAGUCGAACGCUCCGCAAGGGGAGUGGCAGACGGGUGAGUAACACGUGGGAACCUACCUCGAGGUGCGGAACAACCAAGGGAAACUUUGGCUAAUACCGCAUGUGCCCUUAGGGGGAAAGAUUUAUCGCCUUGGGAUGGGCCCGCGUCGGAUUAGCUAGUUGGUGUGGUAAUGGCGCACCAAGGCGACGAUCCGUAGCUGGUCUGAGAGGAUGAUCAGCCACACUGGGACUGAGACACGGCCCAGACUCCUACGGGAGGCAGCAGUGGGGAAUAUUGGACAAUGGGCGCAAGCCUGAUCCAGCCAUGCCGCGUGUGUGAUGAAGGCCUUAGGGUUGUAAAGCACUUUCGCCGAUGAAGAUAAUGACUGUAGUCAGAGAAGAAGCCCCGGCUAACUUCGUG